Molecule: ribosomal RNA, 478 nt
Filed under: uncultured bacterium
Lineage: Bacteria
Description: partial 16S ribosomal RNA
Rfam family: Bacterial small subunit ribosomal RNA
Source: RNAcentral
GAUGAACGCUGGCGGCGUGCUUAACACAUGCAAGUCGAACGAGAAGUGGAGACGGAAACCUUCGGGCGGAAGACUUUACUUCGAGUGGCGGACGGGUGAGUAACGCGUGGGUAACCUGCCUCAUACAGGGGGAUAACAGUUGGAAACGACUGUUAAUACCGCAUAAGACCACAGCACCGCAUGGUGCGGGGGUAAAAACUCCGGUGGUAUGAGAUGGACCCGCGUUCGAUUAGCCAGUUGGCGGGGUAACGGCCCACCAAAGCGACGAUCGAUAGCCGAUCUGAGAGGAUGACCGGCCACAUUGGGACUGAGACACGGCCCAAACUCCUACGGGAGGCAGCAGUGGGGAAUAUUGCACAAUGGGGGAAACCCUGAUGCAGCGACGCCGCGUGAGUGAAGAAGUAUUUCGGUAUGUAAAGCUCUAUCAGCAGGGAAGAAAAUGACAGUACCUGAGUAAGAAGCCCCGGCUAACUACGUG